Molecule: ribosomal RNA, 692 nt
Filed under: uncultured bacterium
Lineage: Bacteria
Description: bacterial SSU rRNA
Rfam family: Bacterial small subunit ribosomal RNA
Source: RNAcentral
AACGCUAGCUACAGGCUUAACACAUGCAAGUCGAGGGGCAGCACGGGAGUAGCAAUACAACUGGUGGCGACCGGCGCACGGGUGAGUAACGCGUAUGCAACCUACCUAUCAGAGGGGAAUAACCCGGCGAAAGUCGGACUAAUACCGCAUAAAACAGGGGCACCGCAUGGUGAUAUUUGUUAAAGAAAUUCGCUGAUAGAUGGGCAUGCGUUCCAUUAGGUAGUUGGUGAGGUAACGGCUCACCAAGCCGACGAUGGAUAGGGGAACUGAGAGGUUGGUCCCCCACACUGGUACUGAGACACGGUCCAGACUCCUACGGGAGGCAGCAGUGAGGAAUAUUGGUCAAUGGGCGAGAGCCUGAACCAGCCAAGUCGCGUGAAGGAAGAAGGAUCUAUGGUUCGUAAACUUCUUUUGCAGGGGAAUAAAGUGCAGGACGUGUCCUGUUUUGUAUGUACCCUGAGAAUAAGGAUCGGCUAACUCCGUGCCAGCAGCCGCGGUAAUACGGAGGAUCCGAGCGUUAUCCGGAUUUAUUGGGUUUAAAGGGUGCGUAGGUGGUUUGAUAAGUCAGCGGUGAAAGUUUGCAGCUUAACUGUAAAAAUGCCGUUGAAACUGUCGGACUUGAGUGUAAAUGAGGUAGGCGGAAUGCGUGGUGUAGCGGUGAAAUGCUUAGAUAUCACGAAGAACUCCGAUUG